Myotis davidii is the source of this 1071-nucleotide long non-coding RNA. RefSeq lists it as uncharacterized. Lineage: Eukaryota; Metazoa; Chordata; Mammalia; Chiroptera; Vespertilionidae. The transcript has 5 exons. The record is from RefSeq and is a predicted model, not a curated record.
CAAUAGGAAAGAACUGUUUUUGCCAGAAUUUUAUUGUCCGCGGAGUGUUUGAUGUUUUUGGCUUUGAGGCCACAUCAGUCUUGAAGGUGACAACCAAGAUUGGUUAGAACAUAGUAAUAGCAAUUUCUGAGUCAGAAUUCCAGUUCUCUGCACGUUCCUACCUUUCUGUUCCCUCGUCCUGCGGUGACAAGUUCUAAAGCACCCGGAACAUCUUCCUGUUCUCCCAUUAGCGAAGUUUAUCUCAGAUAUAAAGUUGGCUCUCAUGCCAUUUCCUCUUUUGUGGUUGUAUCUGCCUACACCUGAUCUACUCACUGUUCUGAAAUAAAGAUACUGGGACUGGACUGUGAGGAUACACCAGCCAGCUAUAAAUGGUCUUGACCAAUGUGAACAGCAUGAAUGAUCUUCCAGUCCCAGAGCGAGUCUGACGGAGCUCUGGAACCAGACUCCUGCUCUCACCACUGUGCCAUCCUGUCGUCCUUUAUCAUCUGUCUAAGAAGCCUCAUUUCACAUUUUCCAAUUCUACUGUUCCUGAAGCAAAACAAAGUCAGUCACCCAGACCCUGAAGUAGGAUAAAGCAAAUGUGAAGGUAUUUUUCAAAGAAGUAGGCUCCUUUCUGACUAUAAUAAUUCAAACAUCGCCUUAUUUAAGGUAUGGAAAGCCAUUGAAAGGUGUUAAACAGGGAUGUGACAGGAUUUGAUCUACUGGCUCAGAGGACACUCUCAAUGGGUGAGAAAAAUAGAUCCAAAGAGGAACAAGGAAGAACAAUAGAGACCUUGGGAAGCCACUAUGGUUUCUGAGGUGAGAAAUGGUGGCGACUUGGACCAGGUCGGUGGUAGUGAAAGUAGACAAAAAUGGAUGGAUUGGUGGUGGGAUGCACGUGGACGAUGUGGAAGAGAGGAAUGAAGCCUGAUCCAUCUUUUUGACUUGAGACAAAUGUAAUAGAAUGUGGGAAUGGGGAAGCAGUUUUGUAGGAAUUGAUUCUGUUUUGAACGUGUUAGGUUUGAAAUGUUUAUAAGCUAUCCAAACAAAGAAGUCAAGUUGGCAGGACAAGCUUACUGGUGUGAGCUCAGA